UAGAACGCGAACGUUAACGAAUAAAACAAGGAUGGUGGAUAAAACACAAGAAUGCUGGAAUUUAGUUUGUUGGCAACAAGUGAAUGUCAAACAUGUUAGAACAAAAUUGUGAGAUAUUGCUUUCGGUGAUUAUUAUCGAUAAGGUGCAUUAGAUUUUUGGGUAUAUACAUAAUAGUAAAGUGAAAUUAUUGUGUGAAAACAAUGAAACAGUUUCUACUAAAUGGUACAUAAACAAAUGACAUUAGAUGAAAUAAGGAGCACAUUUCAUGUUGAUCAUCACGACGAUGUUCCUGAAUACGAAAUAAUUCAUAUUCACCACGACAAUAAACGAAGUCUUGUUCCAAAUUCAAACAGUAAUAAAAUCAAUAGUGAAAAUGAUGAUAAAACAAAUUCAAAACAUGAUGAAUCAUCAGCAUUAAAUGACAAGAAACAUACAAAAAUAAGACUGAACGCAUUUGGAAGGCCCUUAAAUUUAACCCUGGUUAAAAAUGAAAAUCUCAUUAAAAAGGACGGACUCAAAGUGUGGACCAUUGAACCUAAUAACACUGCCCAGCAUGGACUUGAAUAUGUUGAAAUACCAGAGGUAAGA
Agrilus planipennis (emerald ash borer) is the source of this 589-nucleotide long non-coding RNA. RefSeq lists it as uncharacterized. The transcript has 3 exons. The record is from RefSeq and is a predicted model, not a curated record. Lineage: Eukaryota; Metazoa; Arthropoda; Insecta; Coleoptera; Buprestidae.